ACCAGGUCUUGACAUCCCUUGACAACUCCAGAGAUGGAGCGUUCCCUUCGGGGACAAGGUGACAGGUGGUGCAUGGUUGUCGUCAGCUCGUGUCGUGAGAUGUUGGGUUAAGUCCCGCAACGAGCGCAACCCUUAUUACUAGUUGCCAGCAUUCAGUUGGGCACUCUAGUGAGACUGCCGGUGACAAACCGGAGGAAGGA
Molecule: ribosomal RNA, 200 nt
Filed under: uncultured bacterium
Lineage: Bacteria
Description: partial 16S ribosomal RNA
Rfam family: Bacterial small subunit ribosomal RNA
Source: RNAcentral